UAAUUCUGUCUCAAGAGACCAAACUUCUUCAAUCUGAAAUGCUGCAGUGUUGAUCUUUAGUGGCUGAAGCCCUACUCUUUUUCCUUACAAUUCGUUUCUGUAUUUCCAUUAUCACAGAAACCAUUCUCUUUUCCUUGCUCUUUUGCAUUUUCUUCAGGUGAUGAAUCCUUUUCUUUUGCUUUUUCUUCAGGUGAUGAAUCCUUUUCUCUUGCUUCUUCUUCAGCUUUCAAUCUGGCGUCCUCUUUUGCCUUCUCAAGCCCUGCUAUUAGUCCCUCCAAGCAAACCUUGUUGUCUCCAGGAAGAGUCUUUGGCAUUAAAUGCUCCGCCACUUCAGCGGGAGUCAUUUUGGUUUCUCCCAGCAACUCUUGGAUCUUGGAAUACAAGUGGUGUGUUUCAAGCCGAAGGUAAUUCUUAGCCAAAACCUUGAAUGCUUCAAAGCUACAAUAUGACAAUUCUAUGUGCUUGUCCAUCCUUCCUUUCCUGAUAAGAGCUGGAUCAAGUUUCUCCAAGAAAUUAGUUGUGAAAACAACCAGUCUUUCUCCUUUACAAGCUGACCAGAGUCCAUCAAUAAAAUUCAAAAGCCCAGAAAGAGUGACCUGACUCUGUUUGCUGUCUGUUUCUUCCUUUGGCAGCUUCAGCUUUGGAUCCUUCUCAUCUCCCCUUCCCUGUUCUUCCUUUUUCUUCUUCCUUUGACCGGUUAGAUCAAGAGAACAGUCAAUAUCCUCGAUCACA
RNAcentral lists this long non-coding RNA (732 nucleotides) under Populus trichocarpa (black cottonwood). RNAcentral describes it as "long non-coding RNA (PTRI_LNC003036)". The record is from RNAcentral. Lineage: Eukaryota; Viridiplantae; Streptophyta; Magnoliopsida; Malpighiales; Salicaceae.